UACGUAGGGGGCAAGCGUUGUCCGGAAUCAUUGGGCGUAAAGAGCGUGUAGGCGGCUCGGUAAGUCCGCUGUGAAAGUCCAGGGCUCAACCCUGGAAAGCCAGUGGAAACUGUCAAGCUAGAGUCCGGAAGAGGCGAGUGGAACUCCUGGUGUAGCGGUGAAAUGCGCAGAUAUCAGGAAGAACACCAAUGGCGAAGGCAGCUCGCUGGGACGGUACUGACGCUGAGACGCGAAAGCGUGGGGAGCAAACAGG
Molecule: ribosomal RNA, 253 nt
Filed under: uncultured bacterium
Lineage: Bacteria
Description: partial 16S ribosomal RNA
Rfam family: Bacterial small subunit ribosomal RNA
Source: RNAcentral